This 627-nucleotide ribosomal RNA is filed under the name uncultured Lachnospiraceae bacterium. Its description in RNAcentral is "bacterial SSU rRNA". It matches the Rfam family "Bacterial small subunit ribosomal RNA", at positions 72 to 718 of the family's 1533-position model. The record is from RNAcentral. Lineage: Bacteria; Bacillati; Bacillota; Clostridia; Lachnospirales; Lachnospiraceae.
GGAUUGAUUCUUAAUUGACUGAGCGGCGGACGGGUGAGUAACGCGUGGGUGACCUGCCCCAUACCGGGGGAUAACAGCUGGAAACGGCUGCUAAUACCGCAUAAGCGCACAGAGCUGCAUGGCUCAGUGUGAAAAACUCCGGUGGUAUGGGAUGGGCCCGCGUCUGAUUAGGCAGUUGGCGGGGUAACGGCCCACCAAACCGACGAUCAGUAGCCGGCCUGAGAGGGCGACCGGCCACAUUGGGACUGAGACACGGCCCAAACUCCUACGGGAGGCAGCAGUGGGGAAUAUUGCACAAUGGGGGAAACCCUGAUGCAGCGACGCCGCGUGAGCGAAGAAGUAUUUCGGUAUGUAAAGCUCUAUCAGCAGGCAAGAUAAUGACGGUACCUGACUAAGAAGCCCCGGCUAACUACGUGCCAGCAGCCGCGGUAAUACGUAGGGGGCAAGCGUUAUCCGGAUUUACUGGGUGUAAAGGGAGCGUAGACGGCAAGGCAAGUCUGAUGUGAAAACCCAGGGCUUAACCCUGGGACUGCAUUGGAAACUGUCUGGCUCGAGUGCCGGAGAGGUAAGCGGAAUUCCUAGUGUAGCGGUGAAAUGCGUAGAUAUUAGGAAGAACACCAGUGGCGA